GGGUUGUGAGGUUAAGCGACUAAGCGUACACGGUGGAUGCCCUGGCAGUCAGAGGCGAUGAAGGACGUGCUAAUCUGCGAAAAGCGUCGGUAAGGUGAUAUGAACCGUUAUAGCCGGCGAUGUCCGAAUGGGGAAACCCAGUGCAAUUCGUUGCACUAUCGUUAACUGAAUACAUAGGUUAACGAGGCGAACCGGGGGAACUGAAACAUCUAAGUACCCCGAGGAAAAGAAAUCAACCGAGAUUCCCCCAGUAGCGGCGAGCGAACGGGGAGCAGCCCAGAGUCUGAAUCAGCUUGUGUGUUAGUGGAACGGUCUGGAAAGUCCGACGGUACAGGGUGAUAGUCCCGUACACCAAAAUGCACAGGCUGUGAACUCGAAGAGUAGGGCGGGACACGUGGUAUCCUGUCUGAAUAUGGGGGGACCAUCCUCCAAGGCUAAAUACUCCUGACUGACCGAUAGUGAACCAGUACCGUGAGGGAAAGGCGAAAAGAACCCCGGCGAGGGGAGUGAAAAAGAACCUGAAACCGUGUACGUACAAGCAGUGGGAGCACCUUCGGGUGUGACUGCGUACCUUUUGUAUAAUGGGUCAGCGACUUAUAUUCUGUAGCAAGGUUAACCGUAUAGGGGAGCCGCAGGGAAACCGAGUCUUAACUGGGCGUUAAGUUGCAGGGUAUAGACCCGAAACCCGGUGAUCUAGCCAUGGGCAGGUUGAAGGUUGGGUAACACUAACUGGAGGACCGAACCGACUAAUGUUGAAAAAUUAGCGGAUGACUUGUGGCUGGGGGUGAAAGGCCAAUCAAACCGGGAGAUAGCUGGUUCUCCCCGAAAGCUAUUUAGGUAGCGCCUCGUGAACUCAUCUUCGGGGGUAGAGCACUGUUUCGGCUAGGGGGUCAUCCCGACUUACCAACCCGAUGCAAACUACGAAUACCGAAGAAUGUUAUCACGGGAGACACACGGCGGGUGCUAACGUCCGUCGUGAAGAGGGAAACAACCCAGACCGCCAGCUAAGGUCCCAAAGUCAUGGUUAAGUGGGAAACGAUGUGGGAAGGCACAGACAGCCAGGAUGUUGGCUUAGAAGCAGCCAUCAUUUAAAGAAAGCGUAAUAGCUCACUGGUCGAGUCGGCCUGCGCGGAAGAUGUAACGGGGCUAAACCAUGCACCGAAGCUGCGGCAGCGACACUAUGUGUUGUUGGGUAGGGGAGCGUUCUGUAAGCCUGCGAAGGUGUGCUGUGAGGCAUGCUGGAGGUAUCAGAAGUGCGAAUGCUGACAUAAGUAACGAUAAAGCGGGUGAAAAGCCCGCUCGCCGGAAGACCAAGGGUUCCUGUCCAACGUUAAUCGGGGCAGGGUGAGUCGACCCCUAAGGCGAGGCCGAAAGGCGUAGUCGAUGGGAAACAGGUUAAUAUUCCUGUACUUGGUGUUACUGCGAAGGGGGGACGGAGAAGGCUAUGUUAGCCGGGCGACGGUUGUCCCGGUUUAAGCAUGUAGGCUGAUUGUCCAGGCAAAUCCGGAUAAUCAAGGCUGAGGUGUGAUGACGAGGCACUACGGUGCUGAAGUAACAAAUGCCCUGCUUCCAGGAAAAGCCUCUAAGCAUCAGGUAACAUCAAAUCGUACCCCAAACCGACACAGGUGGUCAGGUAGAGAAUACCAAGGCGCUUGAGAGAACUCGGGUGAAGGAACUAGGCAAAAUGGUGCCGUAACUUCGGGAGAAGGCACGCUGGUGUGUAGGUGAAGUCCCUGCGGAUGGAGCUGAGACCAGUCGAAGAUACCAGCUGGCUGCAACUGUUUAUUAAAAACACAGCACUGUGCAAACACGAAAGUGGACGUAUACGGUGUGACGCCUGCCCGGUGCCGGAAGGUUAAUUGAUGGGGUUAUCCGUAAGGAGAAGCUCUUGAUCGAAGCCCCGGUAAACGGCGGCCGUAACUAUAACGGUCCUAAGGUAGCGAAAUUCCUUGUCGGGUAAGUUCCGACCUGCACGAAUGGCGUAAUGAUGGCCAGGCUGUCUCCACCCGAGACUCAGUGAAAUUGAACUCGCUGUGAAGAUGCAGUGUACCCGCGGCAAGACGGAAAGACCCCGUGAACCUUUACUAUAGCUUGACACUGAACAUUGAGCCUUGAUGUGUAGGAUAGGUGGGAGGCUUUGAAGCGUGGACGCCAGUCUGCGUGGAGCCAACCUUGAAAUACCACCCUUUAAUGUUUGAUGUUCUAACGUUGGCCCCUGACCGGGGUUGCGGACAGUGUCUGGUGGGUAGUUUGACUGGGGCGGUCUCCUCCCAAAGCGUAACGGAGGAGCACGAAGGUUAGCUAAUCCUGGUCGGACAUCAGGAGGUUAGUGCAAUGGCAUAAGCUAGCUUGACUGCGAGCGUGACGGCGCGAGCAGGUGCGAAAGCAGGUCAUAGUGAUCCGGUGGUUCUGAAUGGAAGGGCCAUCGCUCAACGGAUAAAAGGUACUCCGGGGAUAACAGGCUGAUACCGCCCAAGAGUUCAUAUCGACGGCGGUGUUUGGCACCUCGAUGUCGGCUCAUCACAUCCUGGGGCUGAAGUAGGUCCCAAGGGUAUGGCUGUUCGCCAUUUAAAGUGGUACGCGAGCUGGGUUUAGAACGUCGUGAGACAGUUCGGUCCCUAUCUGCCGUGGGCGCUGGAGAAUUGAGGGGGGCUGCUCCUAGUACGAGAGGACCGGAGUGGACGCAUCACUGGUGUUCGGGUUGUCAUGCCAAUGGCACUGCCCGGUAGCUAAAUGCGGAAGAGAUAAGUGCUGAAAGCAUCUAAGCACGAAACUUGCCCCGAGAUGAGUUCUCCCUGAGACUUUAAGUCUCCUGAAGGAACGUUGAAGACGACGACGUUGAUAGGCCGGGUGUGUAAGCGCAGCGAUGCGUUGAGCUAACCGGUACUAAUGAACCGUGAGGCUUAACCUUACAACGCCGAAG
RNAcentral lists this ribosomal RNA (2923 nucleotides) under Klebsiella pneumoniae. RNAcentral's name for it is "23S ribosomal RNA". It matches the Rfam family "Bacterial large subunit ribosomal RNA". Lineage: Bacteria; Pseudomonadati; Pseudomonadota; Gammaproteobacteria; Enterobacterales; Enterobacteriaceae. The record is from RNAcentral.